This 370-nucleotide ribosomal RNA is filed under the name Alexandrium margalefii. Its description in RNAcentral is "partial Bacterial large subunit ribosomal RNA". It matches the Rfam family "Bacterial large subunit ribosomal RNA", at positions 1926 to 2295 of the family's 2925-position model. The record is from RNAcentral. Lineage: Eukaryota; Dinophyceae; Gonyaulacales; Pyrocystaceae.
AAUGUCGGCCGUAACUAUAACGGUCCUAAGGUAGCGAAAUUCCUUGUCGGGUAAGUUCCGACCUGCACGAAUGGUGUAACGAUCUGGGCACUGUCUCAGCCAUGAGCUCGGUGAAAUUGUAGUAUCGGUGAAGAUGCCGAUUACCCGCAACGGGACGGAAAGACCCCGUGAACCUUUACUAUAGCUUCACAGUGGACUUUGAACCUGCUUGUGUAGGAUAGCUGGGAGACUUUGAAGCGGUGACGCUAGUCAUCGUGGAGUCGUCCUUGAAAUACCAGCCUGGCAUGUUUGAGGUUCUAACCUAGGUCCAUUAUCUGGAUCGGGGACAUUGUGUGGUGGGUAGUUUGACUGGGGCGGUCUCCUCCCAAAG